RNAcentral lists this ribosomal RNA (441 nucleotides) under uncultured bacterium. RNAcentral describes it as "partial 16S ribosomal RNA". It matches the Rfam family "Bacterial small subunit ribosomal RNA", at positions 338 to 795 of the family's 1533-position model. The record is from RNAcentral.
CCUACGGGUGGCAGCAGUGGGGAAUAUUGCACAAUGGGGGAAACCCUGAUGCAGCGACGCCGCGUGAGUGAAGAAGUAUUUCGGUUUGUAAAGCUCUAUCAGCAGGGAAGAAAAAGGUCGGUACCUGACUAAGAAGCCCCGGCGAACUACGUGUCAGCAGCAGCGGUAAUACGUAGGGGGCAAGCGUUAUCCGGAUUUACUGGGUGUAAAGGGAGCGUAGACGGCAGCGCAAGUCUGGAGUGAAAUCCUAUGGCUUAACCAUGGAACUGCUUUGGAGACUGUGCAGCUAGAGUGUCGGAGAGGCAGGCGGAAUUCCUAGUGUAGCGGUGAAAUGCGUAGAUAUUAGGAGGAACACCAGUGGCGAAGGCGGCCUGCUGGACGAUGACUGACGUUGAGGCUCGAAAGCGUGGGGAGCAAACAGGAUUAGAUACCCGGGUAGUC